This is a long non-coding RNA of Thunnus maccoyii (southern bluefin tuna), 898 nucleotides long. RefSeq lists it as uncharacterized. The record is from RefSeq and is a predicted model, not a curated record. Lineage: Eukaryota; Metazoa; Chordata; Actinopteri; Scombriformes; Scombridae. The transcript has 3 exons.
GUGUAAAAUAAAGGUAUUUCAAUUUUGCACAAACCCUUCAGUGUGCCUUGGAUUGUUUUUGAGGGAGACUAGGGUUUUAUAUUUUUUGAUUGAGACCAUAUUCCACCCAAGCAAUGAGCCCUUCACAAGAUGGAAUAAAAAAGAUUCUAUAGGCACAUCAGGCUUCACAAGAGCCUUUCAGCGACACUCGAAGAGGCAGAGACAAAUGGACUGUGCAUGUGCAUGAACAGUUGGACCAAAACUGUCACUACAGCGUGUUAGAAGUUGGCAUGGGCAGCGUGUGAAAAAGAUCGCCAUUAGCACCUGUGGCUUUUGGCUCUGUAGCAGUGCCAGAUAGUGGAGAGGGAAACGAGGACACAUCCUGAUCAUCUCACCCCUUUGUUCUGAAAUGUUAAAAACCUGCAGAGGUCCAUUAUAAGAUGCAUCAGAGAUCCUGGGAGGUCUUAACAUCUGUCUGCACUUCAAACAACAUCUGUAGACAAGACAAACAACAGCACCGGUGCAAGAACUCUCCGACUAACUCCAAUAACCUUAUUUUACAUCAUCAGUAUUUCAUCCCGGAGCUACCACUGCAGCACUGUCUCGUAUCGAGUGCUGCAUGAUUAACAGUGGCGAGAUGGGAGUUGACAAUCAAUGAUCCUCAUCAUUUAAAUCGCGGCUCCUGUAAUACCUGGCGAAGAAGUGUCAUGAAUAAAAGACAAAGUGAAAUCCAAUGUAUAAUCGUUUUGAUAUUGAUAUGAGCUGAAGGAAGAUCAGUGGUGUCGUUUAGAGUGAUGACUCAUUUACUUGUGUUUACAUCUGGUUAAUUUAUCUUCCUAUUAUUUAAUAAAGUAUCCCCAAUGUAGCUCAUUUUUAACCUGUUGUUCAUUAUAUAAACUUUAUGGUGUCAAGACUAGCG